Molecule: ribosomal RNA, 475 nt
Filed under: uncultured bacterium
Lineage: Bacteria
Description: bacterial SSU rRNA
Rfam family: Bacterial small subunit ribosomal RNA
Source: RNAcentral
ACUCCUACGGGAGGCAGCAGUAGGGAAUCUUCCACAAUGGGCGCAAGCCUGAUGGAGCAACACCGCGUGAGUGAAGAAGGGUUUCGGCUCGUAAAGCUCUGUUGUUAAAGAAGAACACGUAUGAGAGUAACUGUUCAUACGUUGACGGUAUUUAACCAGAAAGUCACGGCUAACUACGUGCCAGCAGCCGCGGUAAUACGUAGGUGGCAAGCGUUAUCCGGAUUUAUUGGGCGUAAAGAGAGUGCAGGCGGUUUUCUAAGUCUGAUGUGAAAGCCUUCGGCUUAACCGGAGAAGUGCAUCGGAAACUGGAUAACUUGAGUGCAGAAGAGGGUAGUGGAACUCCAUGUGUAGCGGUGGAAUGCGUAGAUAUAUGGAAGAACACCAGUGGCGAAGGCGGCUACCUGGUCUGCAACUGACGCUGAGACUCGAAAGCAUGGGGUAGCGGAACAGGAUUAGAUACCCUGGUAGGAUAGCG